CAGUCGCCGCGGUAAUACAGAGGGUGCGAGCGUUAAUCGGAUUUACUGGGCGUAAAGCGUGCGUAGGCGGCUUCUUAAGUCGGAUGUGAAAUCCCUGAGCUUAACUUAGGAAUUGCAUUCGAUACUGGGAAGCUAGAGUAUGGGAGAGGAUGGUAGAAUUCCAGGUGUAGCGGUGAAAUGCGUAGAGAUCUGGAGGAAUACCGAUGGCGAAGGCAGCCAUCUGGCCUAAUACUGACGCUGAGGUACGAAAGCAUGGGGAGCAAACAGGAUUAGAGACCCCAGUAGUCCCUGUCUCUUAUAC
Molecule: ribosomal RNA, 301 nt
Filed under: uncultured bacterium
Lineage: Bacteria
Description: partial 16S ribosomal RNA
Rfam family: Bacterial small subunit ribosomal RNA
Source: RNAcentral